Molecule: ribosomal RNA, 303 nt
Filed under: uncultured bacterium
Lineage: Bacteria
Description: partial 16S ribosomal RNA
Rfam family: Bacterial small subunit ribosomal RNA
Source: RNAcentral
AGCAGUAGCCGCGGUAAUACGAAGGGGGCUAGCGUUGUUCGGAAUUACUGGGCGUAAAGCGCACGCAGGCGGCUCGAUAAAUUAGAAGUGAAAGCCUUGGGCUUAACCUGAGAAUUGCUUUUAAGACUGUCGAGCUAGAAUCCAGAAGAGGGUAGCGGAAUUCCGAGUGUAGAGGUGAAAUUCGUAGAUAUUCGGAAGAACACCAGUGGCGAAGGCGACUACCUGGUCUGGCAUUGACGCUCAUGUGCGAAAGCGUGGGGAGCAAACAGGAUUAGAUACCCCAGUAGUCCCUGUCUCUUAUAC